CUACGUGCCAGCAGCCGCGGUAAUACGUAGGGCGCGAGCGUUGUCCGGAAUUAUUGGGCGUAAAGAGCUUGUAGGCGGUUUGUCGCGUCUGCUGUGAAAGGCCGGGGCUUAACCCCGUGUAUUGCAGUGGGUACGGGCAGACUAGAGUGCAGUAGGGGAGACUGGAACUCCUGGUGUAGCGGUGGAAUGCGCAGAUAUCAGGAAGAACACCGAUGGCGAAGGCAGGUCUCUGGGCUGUAACUGGCGCUGAGAAGCGAAAGCAUGGGGAGCGAACAGGAUUAGAUACCCUGGUAGUCCAUGCCGUAAACGUUGGGCACUAGGUGUGGGGGACAUUCCACGUUUUCCGCGCCGUAGCUAACGCAUUAAGUGCCCCGCCUGGGGAGUACGGCCGCAAGGCUAAAACUCAAAGAAAUUGACGGGGGCCCGCACAAGCGGCGGAGCAUGCGGAUUAAUUCGAUGCAACGCGAAGAACCUUACCAAGGCUUGACAU
RNAcentral lists this ribosomal RNA (490 nucleotides) under uncultured bacterium. Its description in RNAcentral is "bacterial SSU rRNA". It matches the Rfam family "Bacterial small subunit ribosomal RNA", at positions 501 to 987 of the family's 1533-position model. The record is from RNAcentral.